CCUACGGGAGGCAGCAGUGAGGAAUAUUGGACAAUGGGCGCAAGCCUGAUCCAGCCAUGCCGCGUGCAGGAAGAAGCAUCUAUGGUGUGUAAACUGCUUUUGUACAGGAAGAAACACUCCCUCGUGAGGGAGCUUGACGGUACUGUAAGAAUAAGGACCGGCUAACUCCGUGCCAGCAGCCGCGGUAAUACGGAGGGUCCGAGCGUUAUCCGGAAUCAUUGGGUUUAAAGGGUCCGUAGGCGGUUUAAUAAGUCAGUGGUGAAAUCUGGUCGCUCAACGAUCAAACGGCCAUUGAUACUGUUAGACUUGAAUUAUAAGGAAGUAACUAGAAUAUGUAGUGUAGCGGUGAAAUGCUUAGAUAUUACAUGGAAUACCAAUUGCGAAGGCAGGUUACUACUUAUGGAUUGACGCUGAUGGACGAAAGCGUGGGGAGCGAACAGGAUUAGAUACCCUGGUAGUCCACGCCGUAAACGAUGGAUACUAGCUGUUCGGAGCAAUCUGNGUGNGUAGACGAAGUAGANAAGUAUACCACCUCGGAGGUACGUUCGCGAGAAGUAGAACGACGAAGAGUAGUACGUACGUGAGAGACGACGACGACGACGACGACGGAGGGAGGAGG
RNAcentral lists this ribosomal RNA (619 nucleotides) under uncultured bacterium. Its description in RNAcentral is "bacterial SSU rRNA". The stretch from base 1 to 533 matches the Rfam family "Bacterial small subunit ribosomal RNA", at positions 338 to 873 of the family's 1533-position model. The record is from RNAcentral.